Molecule: long non-coding RNA, 1138 nt
Organism: Mesoplodon densirostris (Blainville's beaked whale)
Lineage: Eukaryota; Metazoa; Chordata; Mammalia; Artiodactyla; Ziphiidae
Exons: 2
Source: RefSeq, a predicted model, not a curated record
UUGUUUAGAGUCAGUGAUAAUGUAAGACUGGAGGAAGACCCAGAGAAAUUAAAUGACUUACCCAGGGUCAGAAGAGCAAGUAAAAAGGAAGCCUGGACUUGGCCCCAAGUCUUCAAAAUAGAGUAUGCUCGCUAUUAUAUCACACUGGCCCUCAGGCUCCUGGAGCAGUAAGGCUACCACAACCUCUGCUUAACUCGACCAGAAUCUGCAUCUGAUUUUCGUUACCAAAACCCUUUCACUAGGAGUCCUUUGCACCAGAACCCACCACCACUGCAGCCUGCCACCACAGUAUGUACUUAGCUGAUUCCAGAGGAAGGAAAAGACAUACUUGACAAGAACCUAGAAUGUGCAGUUAUUUCAUUUAAUCUUCACAAAACAUUGCAAAGUAGGUGCAAGAUGCCCUCGUUCCUUUUUCCUCUUCCCUGGCCACAAAGGAAGACUGUUCCCCAGCCUCCCUUGAAGUUAGGCUGGAGCCCAGUGAUUAGUCUGUCCAGCAGAAUGUGGGCAAGAGUAAUGUGUGUCAUGCCCAGGCUUGAUCCCUAAAGUUUCCCAUGAGAUAAUCAGCUCCUCUGUCUACAGGCUUAGAAGCAAAGGAUGUGCAGAUAUUGGAUCACAUGCUAGAAGGAGUCCAGAUUCUUUAGUUGCUGCUUGGAGAAGUGCUAUCUGACUUAAACAGUGAACAGAGCAAAACAUAUAAAGUUAUGUUAAGUUGCUGAGUUUAAUAACAAGUCUGCAUUUAGAACAUAAAGAAUGUUAGUAUUCUAAUCUAGUGAGGUUAAGUGAUAUAAGUAAGCUUUUGUGACCUGACGAGAAAAUGCAACCCCCUUUUGUUAUAUUUUUAUAGAAAUAUGAGUUCUGAGUUCCAAUUCAAGCUAUGAAAUGACAUUUAGGGAAAAGAAAGCAACAAUCCUAGGUACUGACUCUUCUGUGAAAGAAUCACAUGGUAUAACAUCAGCACCCUCCAGAUAUUUGUUGAAGGCUUCCUUGUCAACCAAUAGGCUUCCACUUCGAGGAUGAGAAGAUAUCCUUCGGUUCUCCAGCCUGUCGUUGCAGGAUUGACAUUUCUUUCAAUAACCAAACAAAAUGUUAUGACCUACCAUCUUAUAUGUUAUGAAAAGUUCAGAGCCAGUUCUCUCCA